UCUGGGAGGGGAGUGGGGGCUGGUGGGUUAGAGCAGGGGGGGCUGGGAGCCAGGACUCCUGGGUUCUCUCCCCGGCUCUGAGAGGGGAGUGGGGGCUGGUGGGUCAGAGCAGGGGGGGCUGGGAGCCAGGACUCCUGGGUUCUCUCCCCGGCUCUGGGAGGGGAGUGGGGGCUGGUGGGUCAGAGCAGUGGGGGCUGGGAGCCAGGACUCCUGGGUUCUCUCCCCGGCUCUGGGAGGGGAGGGGGGGCUGGGAGCCAGGACUCCUGGGUUCUCUCCCCGGCUCUGGGAGGGGAGUGGGGGCUGGUGGGUUAGAGCAGUGGGGGCUGGGAGCCAGGACUCCUGGGUUCUCUCCCUGGCUCUGGGAGGGGAUGGGGGCUGGUGGGUUAGAGCAGGCGGGGCUGGGAGCCAGGACUCCUGGGUUCUCUCCCCGGCACUGGGAGGGGAGUGGGGGCUGGUGGGUCAGAGCAGG
Gopherus flavomarginatus (Mexican gopher tortoise) is the source of this 469-nucleotide long non-coding RNA. RefSeq lists it as uncharacterized. The record is from RefSeq and is a predicted model, not a curated record. NCBI's taxonomy places the organism in Eukaryota, Metazoa, Chordata, Testudines, Testudinidae. The transcript is spliced from 3 exons.